RNAcentral lists this long non-coding RNA (273 nucleotides) under Brassica rapa (field mustard). RNAcentral describes it as "long non-coding RNA (BRAP_LNC006770)". Lineage: Eukaryota; Viridiplantae; Streptophyta; Magnoliopsida; Brassicales; Brassicaceae. The record is from RNAcentral.
UUUAUUUUCACCCCUAAUACUACGAAAGAGAAUAUAUAUACUCUUUCCGUUCCCAAAAGAUCCAUGUUUUAGUAUUUUCAUAUUUUUUUAAUAAAACAUAUUAAAACUUAGCUAUAAGUGCAUAGUUUUUUAUAAUUUUAUAAUUUUUCUAUUUUUAAACCAAUAAGAUUUUUAAAAAUACAAUUAAUGUUUUUCAAUUUCUCAUUAUUAGUUGACAAAAAUUGCAUUGAAAAUAUAGAAUAUGUAUCUUUUUGAAACAUUUUUUUAUUUAGA